CGACCAGACUCCUACGGGAGGCAGCAGUGAGGAAUAUUGGUCAAUGGGCGAGAGCCUGAACCAGCCAAGUCGCGUGAGGGAGUACUGCCCUAUGGGUUGUAAACCUCUUUUGUCGGGGAGCAAAAGCCGGACGUGUCCGGCUGUGAGAGUACCCGAAGAAAAAGCAUCGGCUAACUCCGUGCCAGCAGCCGCGGUAAUACGGAGGAUGCGAGCGUUAUCCGGAUUUAUUGGGUUUAAAGGGUGCGCAGGCGGAUUUUUAAGUCAGCGGUCAAAUCGUGGGGCUCAACCCCAUCCAGCCGUUGAAACUGCAUCCCUUGAGUGCGCGAGAAGUAUGCGGAAUGCGUGGUGUAGCGGUGAAAUGCAUAGAUAUCACGCAGAACUCCGAUUGCGAAGGCAGCGUACCGGCGCCCAACUGACGCUGAAGCACGAAGGCGUGGGUAUCGAACAGGAUUAGAUACCCUCGUAC
This 466-nucleotide ribosomal RNA is filed under the name uncultured bacterium. RNAcentral's name for it is "bacterial SSU rRNA". It matches the Rfam family "Bacterial small subunit ribosomal RNA", at positions 328 to 793 of the family's 1533-position model. The record is from RNAcentral.